CAAACGUCGUACUAAGAGUCAGCCUGCCAGUGACAAAGUUUAACGGCCGCGGUACUCUGACCGUGCGAAGGUAGCAUAAUCACUUGUUCUUUAAAUGGGGACUUGUAUCAACGGCAUCACGAGGGCCAUACUGUCUCCUUUUUCCAAUCAGUGAAACUGAUCUUCCCGUGAAGAAGCGGGAAUUAACCUAUAAGACGAGAAGACCCCAUGGAGCUUUAAACCCAACAACAAGUCUAAAUAAACAUACCCUAAAAAUUAGUGACACCUGAACUGUUGGUUUUAGGUUGGGGUGACCGCGGAGUAUAAAUUAACCUCCACGACGAACGGGACUAAACCCUUAUCUACGAGCCACCGCUCUAAGAAUCAGCACACUGACUUCUAAUGAUCCGAUAUUCGAUCAACGAACCAAGUUACCCUGGGGAUAACAGCGCUAUCCAUUUCAAGAGCUCCUAUCGACAAAUGGGUUUACGACCUCGAUGUUGGAUCAGGGUAUCCUAGUGGUGCAGCCGCUACUAAAGGUUUGUUUGUUCAACAAUUAAAACCCUACGUGAUCUGAGUUCAAAACAGGACACUUCCCUUUAAAAAAAAAAUACCCCCCUUUUUUAUUUAAAAAAAGAUAUAUACCUUCAAAAGAAAAAAUUUUACCGCGGGGAGUUAUUCACAAGCGAGCGCAAGGGCCUAACCACUUUUUUUUUGAAGGGGGGGCUAUAGCAGCCCCUUCUGAACGGCGUAUUUUUUUUUUUUUUUAAUAAAAGAAAACAGCAUUACAGAGAGAGGGGGUCUAUUAUGGCGAGAGAAGAAAAAUGGUGUGUGUUCUCCCCCCCCAGAGUGAUAAUUAACACGCCCCACACUCUCUGACACGUGAGGUUGUGUGUGUUGUGUCUAGCUGGUGGGGAUAUAACACGACCGUGGGGGUGAUAAGCACUCGGCGGUGCCUCGCACGACAGUCGAAGCAGCCCGCGCUCGCAAAGAUAAAGCUAUCUUGACAUAGG
RNAcentral lists this ribosomal RNA (992 nucleotides) under Indirana beddomii. RNAcentral describes it as "partial 16S ribosomal RNA". The stretch from base 1 to 601 matches the Rfam family "Bacterial large subunit ribosomal RNA", at positions 1835 to 2925 of the family's 2925-position model. The record is from RNAcentral. Lineage: Eukaryota; Metazoa; Chordata; Amphibia; Anura; Ranixalidae.